This 540-nucleotide ribosomal RNA is filed under the name uncultured Sacculosporaceae. Its description in RNAcentral is "SSU rRNA". It matches the Rfam family "Eukaryotic small subunit ribosomal RNA", at positions 548 to 1087 of the family's 1831-position model. Lineage: Eukaryota; Fungi; Glomeromycota; Glomeromycetes; Diversisporales; Sacculosporaceae. The record is from RNAcentral.
UUGGAGGGCAAGUCUGGUGCCAGCAGCCGCGGUAAUUCCAGCUCCAAUAGCGUAUAUUAAAGUUGUUGCAGUUAAAAAGCUCGUAGUUGAAAUUCGAAAUUUGUCCUAUGGUCGGGCUUUACGGUCCGUACAGUAGUGGCGAAUUUCUACCUUCUGAAGAACCUUCAUGUCAUUAAUUUGGUGUGUUGGGAAAUCAGGACUGUUACUUUGAAAAAAUUAGAGUGUUUAAAGCAGGCUUAAGUCUGAAUACAUUAGCAUGGAAUAAUGAAAUAGGACGGAUUGGUUCUAUUUUGUUGGUUUCUAGGAUCACCGUAAUGAUUAAUAGGGAUAGUUGGGGGCAUUAGUAUUCAAUUGUCAGAGGUGAAAUUCUUGGAUUUAUUGAAGACUAACUUCUGCGAAAGCAUUUGCCAAGGAUGUUUUCAUUAAUCAAGAACGAAAGUUAGGGGAUCGAAGACGAUCAGAUACCGUCGUAGUCUUAACCAUAAACUAUGCCGACUAGGGAUCGGACGAAGUUAAUUUUCAGAUGACUCGUUCGGCGCC